Long non-coding RNA from Acanthochromis polyacanthus (spiny chromis), 693 nucleotides. RefSeq lists it as uncharacterized. The record is from RefSeq and is a predicted model, not a curated record. The transcript is spliced from 3 exons. Lineage: Eukaryota; Metazoa; Chordata; Actinopteri; Pomacentridae.
UGUGGAAAAAACGUCAUAGUUUAGUAUGUCGUCCAAAAUGUGACCAAAAACGUCAUAGUUUAGUAUGUCGUCCAAAAUGUGACCAAAAACGUCAUAGUUUAGUAUGUCAUCCAAAAUGUGACCAAAAAGGUCAUAGUUAAGUAUGUCGUCCAAAAUGUCACUAAAACGUCAUAGUUAAGUAUGUCGUCCAAACUGUGACCAAAAACAUCAUAGUUUAGUAUGUCGUCCAAAAUGUGGAAAAAACAUCAUCGUUUAGUAUGGCGUCCAAAAUGUGACCAAAAACAUGAUAGUUUAGUCUGUCAUCCAAAAUGUGACCAAAAACAUCAUAGUUUAGUAUGUCGUCCAAAAUGUGACCAAAAAAGUCAAAUGUCGUCCAAAAUGUGACCAAAAACAUCAUACUUUUGGUAUGUCGUCCAAAAUGUGACCAAAAACGUCAUAGUUUAGUAUGGCGUCCAAAAUGUGGAAAAGACGUCAUAGUAUACUAUGUCGAAAAAAUGUGAUUUUUUCAACAUGUCCAAAAAACAUGCCAUGUUAUAAGGUGCCGGGAUAGCUCAACAGGUUAACUGGUCGAACCAUGCGUAGGGGCUGGUCCCCAACGCAGCGACUCAGGUUCGACUCCCGAUUAGUUCAUGACAAACACACAACAAAGCAAUUUUGUUUCAAGAACAUAGCGUUGAAUGUCGUCAAAAACGU